This 253-nucleotide ribosomal RNA is filed under the name uncultured bacterium. RNAcentral's name for it is "partial 16S ribosomal RNA". It matches the Rfam family "Bacterial small subunit ribosomal RNA", at positions 524 to 776 of the family's 1533-position model. The record is from RNAcentral.
UACGUAGGGUGCAAGCGUUAUUCGGAAUUACUGGGCGUAAAGCGUGCGCAGGCGGUUUUGUAAGUCAGGGGUGAAAUCCCCGGGCUUAACCUGGGAACUGCAUUUGUGACUGCAUAGCUAGAGUACGGUAGAGGGGGAUGGAAUUCCGCGUGUAGCAGUGAAAUGCGUAGAUAUGCGGAGGAACACCGAUGGCGAAGGCAAUCCCCUGGACCUGUACUGACGCUGAGACGCGAAAGCGUGGGGAGCGAACAGG